AUUGAACGCUGGCGGCAGGCCUAACACAUGCAAGUCGAGCGGACGAAGGGAGCUUGCUCCUGGAUUCAGCGGCGGACGGGUGAGUAAUGCCUAGGAAUCUGCCUGGUAGUGGGGGAUAACGUCCGGAAACGGGCGCUAAUACCGCAUACGUCCUGAGGGAGAAAGUGGGGGAUCUUCGGACCUCACGCUAUCAGAUGAGCCUAGGUCGGAUUAGCUAGUUGGUGGGGUAAAGGCCUACCAAGGCGACGAUCCGUAACUGGUCUGAGAGGAAGAUCAGUCACACUGGAACUGAGACACGGUCCAGACUCCUACGGGAGGCAGCAGUGGGGAAUAUUGGACAAUGGGCGAAAGCCUGAUCCAGCCAUGCCGCGUGUGUGAAGAAGGUCUUCGGAUUGUAAAGCACUUUAAGUUGGGAGGAAGGGCAGUAAGUUAAUACCUUGCUGUUUUGACGUUACCAACAGAAUAAGCACCGGCUAACUUCGUG
This 484-nucleotide ribosomal RNA is filed under the name uncultured bacterium. Its description in RNAcentral is "partial 16S ribosomal RNA". It matches the Rfam family "Bacterial small subunit ribosomal RNA", at positions 30 to 507 of the family's 1533-position model. The record is from RNAcentral.